UAGGGAAUAUUGGUCAAUGGAGGGAACUCUGAACCAGCCAUGCCGCGUGCAGGAAGAAGGUCCUCUGGAUUGUAAACUGCUUUUGAUUAGGAACAAACGACCCAUGCGUGGGGCAUUGAGUGUACUAAUAGAAUAAGCCACGGCUAACUACGUGCCAGCAGCCGCGGUAAUACGUAGGUGGCAAGCGUUGUCCGGAUUUAUUGGGUUUAAAGGGUGCGUAGGCGGCGUUAUAAGUCAGCGGUGAAAUAUCUAUGCUUAACAUAGAGGGUGCCAUUGAUACUGUAAUGCUUGAGUGCAAACGAGGUAAGCGGAAUUGAAGGUGUAGCGGUGAAAUGCAUAGAUAUCUUCAAGAACACCGAUAGCGAAGGCAGCUUACUAGAAUGCAACUGACGCUGAGGCA
This 400-nucleotide ribosomal RNA is filed under the name uncultured bacterium. RNAcentral describes it as "bacterial SSU rRNA". It matches the Rfam family "Bacterial small subunit ribosomal RNA", at positions 355 to 753 of the family's 1533-position model. The record is from RNAcentral.